This 3539-nucleotide long non-coding RNA is filed under the name Capsicum annuum. Its description in RNAcentral is "long non-coding RNA (CANN_LNC001899)". The record is from RNAcentral. Lineage: Eukaryota; Viridiplantae; Streptophyta; Magnoliopsida; Solanales; Solanaceae.
UAGGAGGUCACGGUUCAAGCCGUGAAAUAAUCUUUUGAAGAAAUGUAAAUUAAGAUUGCAUAUAAUAGACCCUUAUGGUUCAGCCAUUCUCGAAACUCUGCAUAUCGUGAUCACUUUAAUGCACCAAACUACCUUUUUUUAAAAUCUAUAUAUUACUUUUGUCCUAGUCCCGAUAAAUGUUUUAGCUUAGUGAUUAAAGCACACCAUGUAAUGUAUGAGUUAGAUUCAUGUCAUAAUGAUCAAAUUGAAGUUAACUGGAUUCCAUGUUUCCUGCACAACCAUAUGUGGUGUGAGCAGGAGAAAAAAAGGUCAGUUCUUCUUUUUUUUCUUUUGACUUGUUUGCUGAAUUCCUGCAAAAAUUGUAUAAGUCGACAGGUAAAUGCAUUAUAUGAGAGGGAAAACAAUUGUGGAUAAGAAUUGAAGAAAUGAUGUAUAAUAGUUUAAUUAAUAGUGGAAAUAGGAGAGAAGAAAAAAAGGGUAUGUACGUACAUCAGGAAAGUGCAGGGGUCACUAGCACGAAGGACCACAGUGUCAUCCAAUUGCACAUGAAAGCAACCAUGCACUAAUGUAUACUAUUAAUAUACACGGGGUCGUUUGGUAAGUCGUAUUAGAAAAAAUAAUUCAUGUAUUAAGUGUGAUAUUAAUUAAUAUUAUAUUUGAUAGGAUUUUGAAUCAAUAUAUUACUAAUAGCAUGUAUUAUUAUAGGGUGUAUUACUAAUACAUCACAUAUGGUGGUAUUAGUAAUACAUGAGUUUUAAUAUCAUGAGAUUAGUAUGUAUAAAGACAAGAAUAUCCCUCAAAUUCUUUUAAAUAUUUUUUUAUUUUCUUAAUUUUUUCAAUUUAUUCAAUAUGAGUUACUUCUUUUCAAUUUAUCAAAAUAAUAAUAUCCCUCCAAAUAAUUUUAGUUAAAAAAAACUACUCCAUUAACUCAAAAAAAUAUUUAUUGGUCAAAAUCCGAAAACAAAUUACAUACAAGCUUUAAUUUUGUAAAUAAGAUAUCCAUAAAUUAAAAUAAUUUUUCUAUUUAGUUUAACACUAUAAAAUAUAAUUUCAUUUUAAUAAUAAUUUUAUUAUCUCAUUCAAAAGUUAUAUGUACCUCCCUCCAACUUAAAAACAACACAGAGUGGGAACAACAAACAAAUGAUGAACAAACAAAGAAAAGAUAAUAAAAAAAUAAUUUUUGUAAGUGAAUGAUUAAAUCUUAAAAUUCUAAAGUAAAUAAUUAGUUAUAUUGUUAACUUUUUUAUUUUAAAAAAAGAAUAAUAAACUUUUGCAAAAAAAUACACAAAGUUAUAAUAUGUCGAGGGUAUUUUUGUAAAUAAACAAUAUUCUUUUUAAAAUAUAACAAUACAUAUUGCUUUUAAUUAAUACAUCAAAUCAAACACGACAUAAAAAAUAAUUUCAGUAUUACUAAUCUCUGUACUACUAAUCUCAAUAUUAUCUUAUAUACUCUACCAAAUGAGUCCUAUAUUUAUUUUAGCACUAAUGUAUAUUUAUUAAUACAAAAAAUCCUUGUACGUUUGAAGGAAAUUUCUCCAUAAUUUGUCAUAGAAUCUCGAAAUCUUAGUCGUGCGUCACUUGGUGAUUAAAGAAAUUUCCCAUACAAUUUGCAAUGUACUAUGCAGCUAGAUGAAUCAAUAGUACCAAAGGUUUAAAAAAUCCAUUUAUAACUUGCUAAUAAGUUUUUCUUCCCCUUGCUUAUCAGUUAGAAGAGAAAUUAGUUCAAAGUAAAAUAUAAUUAUUAAUGAUUCUAUUAUUUGAUGGGAAACAUGGAAAUUGAUUUUCACUAAAGUCUUCAGAAUAUGAAGAAGUAAACACACAAGAAGCCAAAUACAGUUUAGCAUCAGGGAUAGACCUAAUUGCAAAUAUUUAGUGCUCCAAAACCCAUUAAAUCCAUUAAUCACCUUAAUUUGUGAUUAAUAUAAUGCUCCUCUUCAAAUUAUAUCAUACUCACAAUGGGAGUACGAAUAAACUUCUUUUUUUUAAGAAUUUAAGUUUGAUGCAUCGUUGAUGUAUUUUUUUUUUUUACACCAUCAGGUACUUCUUACCUGUUGUAGCAGGUCAUUCAUUUCUCAUGCAAAAAUGUAAAAAUGGUAAAAGUCACUUGAUGGUGUAAAAAAAAAAGUACACUGAUGAUGCACCAAAUUUAAACUUUUUCUAGCAGUUUUUUUUUUUUUAUGCGCGCAUGUUUUUGAUGACUGGACUUUACAAUUUUUAAGUUGAAAGUGAAUGAUGUUCACUAUCUAAGCAACGUUCUCUCGAGUAUGAACGGAUGAUAAAAUUGAGCAAUUCCGAAAAUGUAGAGAGACAAAGUUGAAUUUGUUUACCUAAAUCUAAUAUGUUUACCACUAAUCUUAAAACUAAUUAACUAAACUUGGCACCUAAUUUAUAACACGAGGAAUUAAAACUCGUAAUUUUCUCGUCACGUUGAGUUGUCUCCUCUCUUGCCUACCUUCAUUUGCACUGUACUCCUUAUAUCAACUCUUCACACUCUCUCAACUUCUCGCCCCUCCCCCUUCUCCUACUCUCUUUCUCUCUCUAAACCACCAUCUCCUCUUAUUAGAGAGAGAAAAGAGUACCUUAUACUUACCACUUAUAACUCGUCUCUAUAAUUUUCUGUGUUAUCGUAGGCUAGCUAGAGCUUCUUCUACAAUAAUAAUAAUAAUAACAAUGGAUGUCUACGGAGUAUCUGCACCCGACUUGUUUCGUAUUGAUGAUCUUCUCGAUUUCUCUAAUGAUCAAAUUUUCUCCACUAACAACACCAACCCCGACUCCUCCUCUCACCAGUACCACCAUCAACCUCACUCCCACAACUCUUCCUCCGCCGCCACUGCCACUUACUACGACAAUCUUCUUCCUAAUUCCUCCGAUGACUUCACCGACAACCUCUACGUCCCCGUAAGCACUCUCACACUCCUUAUUAAUUCGACACCUAAAUAUGUUUUUUUUAUUUACUCAAUUCAUCUAAAAGUUGAAGGAAAUCCUGGCAAUAACUGCUAAAGUUAUUGUCACGUGACUUUUUCGAGUUCAACAUGAUAACAGUCUGCUAUAGAAAUGGAGGAUAGGACCGCGUAAAAUAUAUAGACCUUAUACACUUUUAUUAAGUAGAAUUUUCUCUUGUAUCAUAUAAGAUACACUUUUAUUUACUUCAUUAUUAAUUAUAUGCUUAACACGGACUAGCUUACAUCAAUUAUUGAGCAAUUUUACUGUAUUUUAAAAUCAAUUUCUUCCUGCUUUUUCAUUGCAGAGUGAUGAUGUAGCGGAGUUAGAAUGGCUAUCGAACUUUGUAGAAGAUUCAUUCAGCAAUUUUUCAGCCAAUUCCAUUACCGGAACGAUGAAUCUCAGUUCCAAUACUACGUCGUUUCACGGAAGGUCAAGAAGCAAACGUUCUCGUUCAACUUCAAGCUGGACAACCUCACUCCAAAACCCUAACACAACUACUACUACAAAGAACAAGGAGAGUUCAUCAGUACAUACCAGAGAAAGGUCAUUUUCGCCAAUGGAUGAAGAUGCACCAAGGAGAUGCACACACUGCGCUU